Molecule: ribosomal RNA, 465 nt
Filed under: Vreelandella stevensii
Lineage: Bacteria; Pseudomonadati; Pseudomonadota; Gammaproteobacteria; Oceanospirillales; Halomonadaceae
Description: partial 16S ribosomal RNA
Rfam family: Bacterial small subunit ribosomal RNA
Source: RNAcentral
CCUACGGGCGGCAGCAGUGGGGAAUAUUGGACAAUGGGGGGAACCCUGAUCCAGCCAUGCCGCGUGUGUGAAGAAGGCCCUCGGGUUGUAAAGCACUUUCAGUGAGGAAGAACGCCUGGUGGUUAAUACCCAUCAGGAAAGACAUCACUCACAGAAGAAGCACCGGCUAACUCCGUGCCAGCAGCCGCGGUAAUACGGAGGGUGCGAGCGUUAAUCGGAAUUACUGGGCGUAAAGCGCGCGUAGGUGGCUUGAUAAGCCGGUUGUGAAAGCCCCGGGCUCAACCUGGGAACGGCAUCCGGAACUGUCAAGCUAGAGUGCAGGAGAGGAAGGUAGAAUUCCCGGUGUAGCGGUGAAAUGCGUAGAGAUCGGGAGGAAUACCAGUGGCGAAGGCGGCCUUCUGGACUGACACUGACACUGAGGUGCGAAAGCGUGGGUAGUAAACAGGAUUAGAUACCCUAGUAGUC